UACGGGGGGAGCAAGCGUUGUUCGGAUUUACUGGGCGUAAAGGGCGCGUAGGCGGUCAGCACAAGUCAGUUGUGAAAUCUCCGGGCUUAACUCGGAAAGGUCAACUGAUACUGUGCGACUAGAGUGCAGAAGGGGCAACUGGAAUUCUCGGUGUAGCGGUGAAAUGCGUAGAUAUCGCUUGGAACGCCAACGGUGAAAACAGCUCGCUGGGGGUGUGCUGACGCUGAGACGCGAAAGCGUGGGGAGCGAACAGG
Molecule: ribosomal RNA, 254 nt
Filed under: uncultured bacterium
Lineage: Bacteria
Description: partial 16S ribosomal RNA
Rfam family: Bacterial small subunit ribosomal RNA
Source: RNAcentral